AGAGAAGGCAUUUGACACACUGGCUCAAUAUCACCACCUCCUUACAAGUGAUGUCAGCAACUCAAAUAGCUCAAAUGGGCUUCCACGCUUGUACACAUCAUUUCUCUGACUUUGUCUACUAAGAAGAAGUCCGUUAACCAGAGCUCGCCAUCCGAUCAACAAGAUUCCAGUGCUUCCCAUGGAUACCAAAAUAAACGGUGCCUGUGGAAUAUGCCCGGAUGUUGCUGUCCUGAUGGCAAGUCCCAACGGUAUCCCCACUGCCCAGGACUUAGCAGUCGCCACUAUAGCUUUGGUAGUGCCAUUCUUACCUUUUCCAUCAUCUCCAAAACCUCCAAGGAAGUAUGCGCUUAAAAGCCAUCCGGCGAUGAAAGGGUCGGCAGUCCGCACCGUCUCAAAAUCAAGAACUGGCAAACCAUGGCUGAAUCUCCCAACCGCGCAAAACACAAUCAAGCACAAAACAUCCCCGCCGGCGAGAAGGGCCACCUGCCCCCAUGAGAUAAGCCGCG
RNAcentral lists this unclassified non-coding RNA (506 nucleotides) under Hevea brasiliensis (rubber tree). The record is from RNAcentral. Lineage: Eukaryota; Viridiplantae; Streptophyta; Magnoliopsida; Malpighiales; Euphorbiaceae.